GUGUACGUACAAGCAGUGGGAGCACAGGUUUACCUGUGUGACUGCGUACCUUUUGUAUAAUGGGUCAGCGACUUAUAUUCUGUAGCAAGGUUAACCGUAUAGGGGAGCCGUAGGGAAACCGAGUCUUAACCGGGCGUUAAGUUGCAGGGUAUAGACCCGAAACCCGGUGAUCUAGCCAUGGGCAGGUUGAAGGUUGGGUAACACUAACUGGAGGACCGAACCGACUAAUGUUGAAAAAUUAGCGGAUGACCUGUGGCUGGGGGUGAAAGGCCAAUCAAACCGGGAGAUAGCUGGUUCUCCCCGAAAGCUAUUUAGGUAGCGCCUCGUGAAUUCAUCUCCGGGGGUAGAGCACUGUUUCGGCUAGGGGGCCAUCCCGGCUUACCAACCCGAUGCAAACUGCGAAUACCGGAGAAUGUUAUCACGGGAGACACACGGCGGGUGCUAACGUCCGUCGUGAAGAGGGAAACAACCCAGACCGCCAGCUAAGGUCCCAAAGUCAUGGUUAAGUGGGAAACGAUGUGGGAAGGCCCAGACAGCCAGGAUGUUGGCUUAGAAGCAGCCAUCAUUUAAAGAAAGCGUAAUAGCUCACUGGUCGAGUCGGCCUGCGCGGAAGAUGUAACGGGGCUAAACCAUG
Molecule: ribosomal RNA, 634 nt
Filed under: Salmonella enterica subsp. enterica serovar Paratyphi B var. L(+) tartrate +
Lineage: Bacteria; Pseudomonadati; Pseudomonadota; Gammaproteobacteria; Enterobacterales; Enterobacteriaceae
Description: partial 23S ribosomal RNA
Rfam family: Bacterial large subunit ribosomal RNA
Source: RNAcentral